Molecule: ribosomal RNA, 429 nt
Filed under: bacterium
Lineage: Bacteria
Description: partial 16S ribosomal RNA
Rfam family: Bacterial small subunit ribosomal RNA
Source: RNAcentral
UAGGGAAUCUUCGGCAAUGGGGGCAAACCUGACCGAGCAACGCCGCGUGAGUGAAGAAGGUUUUCGGAUCGUAAAGCUCUGUUGUAAGAGAAGAACGUGUGUGAGAGUGGAAAGUUCACACAGUGACGGUAACUUACCAGAAAGGGACGGCUAACUACGUGCCAGCAGCCGCGGUAAUACGUAGGUCCCGAGCGUUGUCCGGAUUUAUUGGGCGUAAAGCGAGCGCAGGCGGUUUAAUAAGUCUGAAGUUAAAGGCAGUGGCUUAACCAUUGUUCGCUUUGGAAACUGUUAAACUUGAGUGCAGAAGGGGAGAGUGGAAUUCCAUGUGUAGCGGUGAAAUGCGUAGAUAUAUGGAGGAACACCGGUGGCGAAAGCGGCUCUCUGGUCUGUAACUGACGCUGAGGCUCGAAAGCGUGGGGAGCAAACAGG